UCCCUGAUGGCUCAGAUGGUAAAGCACCUAUCUACAAUGUGGGAGACCUGGGUUCAAUCCCUGGGUUGGGAA
Molecule: transfer RNA, 72 nt
Organism: Ovis aries (sheep)
Lineage: Eukaryota; Metazoa; Chordata; Mammalia; Artiodactyla; Bovidae
Rfam family: tRNA
About the family: Transfer RNA (tRNA) molecules are approximately 80 nucleotides in length. Their secondary structure includes four short double-helical elements and three loops (D, anti-codon, and T loops).
Source: Rfam